CGGAAUGAAAGAUGUACAAGCAUGCACAUCAGCUUUUUCAGCUUUGGAUUUUAAUAGUUUGACCUUCAGUAAUGAGCUUCAUGAAAGAUCUGAGAAUUUGAAAGUUGGUGAUCUAUGUCCAUUUGUGUCUCCACCAAUGACCAACACUGUGUUGGGAUCCACAGACUUGGGGAAGAUGAACUUAAUAGAUCAAGAAAAGAUGACCACUGCAGCUGCAUUUCUAUUUUGGAAUCACACUCUCCGUGACCUGUGUGAGUCACAGCUACCAGAAAACAAAGACAGCAAAAAAGAGAGAACAGGAAAUGAGAAUGGGUGAUAUGGGUCCCCAUGAAGCAAUAAACAUAGGAGGACCUCACUCUGUUGUGCAUGCUGGAGUACAGUGGUGCAAUCUCUGCUCCCUGAAACCUCGACUUCCAGGGCUCAAGAGAUCCUUCCAUCUUACCAAGUAGCUGGGAAUACAGAUGUAUAGUUAUUUUCCAAACCCACCAUUGUAAAAUUACAUUCUAUUAAAGAGAAAGAGAAGAAAAAGAAACUUAAUUUGUUUUUUGGGGGAUAGUUGAGAUGUGUUUAACCCAGCACCUGCUGGUAACCAAGGUCCUCCUCCAAUGAUGGGUAUGAAUAUGAACAACAGAGCAAUUAUACCUGGCCCACCAAUGGGUCCUGGUCCUGCCAUGGGACCAGAAGGAGCCGCAAAUAUGGGAACUCCCAUGAUGCCAGAUAAU
RNAcentral lists this long non-coding RNA (722 nucleotides) under Pan troglodytes (chimpanzee). Its description in RNAcentral is "long non-coding RNA NONPTRT004234". The record is from RNAcentral. Lineage: Eukaryota; Metazoa; Chordata; Mammalia; Primates; Hominidae.